Manis javanica (Malayan pangolin) is the source of this 1902-nucleotide long non-coding RNA. RefSeq lists it as uncharacterized. The record is from RefSeq and is a predicted model, not a curated record. Lineage: Eukaryota; Metazoa; Chordata; Mammalia; Pholidota; Manidae.
GACUCUUGUUUUUGUAUAACCUUUCCUCUCGCACAAAAAGCUCUCUAGGUCAGACAUUUCCACGCGUCCGCAGGGCGAGGAGCGGGAGCUGCUGCGGGACUCCGGCCUUGGCCGGGCCAGGGCAGGGGCUCGGAGCCGGGGCCGCGGCGCGCAAGGACGCGACCCCACCGCUGCCUGGCCGGCGUGAGAGCACCCUCCCGGCGCUGCUCCGCGGGCACGACAGCCUCCUCCUUACUGGGAAGGGAGAGGGCGGCAGCCGGGCCGGCUCCACCGAGACCCGAGGCCCAACGUCGCGACGCGGGCCGAGCGGCGGCCAGGCACCGCGCGCCCCCGUCACCCGUCUGUGGGUCUAGCCCGGGUGCCCGCACCAGUUCCGCGCUCGGGGAGGGGCCGGCAACGGGCCGGAGCGGGCAGCGGCGCCCGAGGAGAGAGCGCGGCUCCGGGCCUCGUGUCACUCACCGUUUGAAAUGCUCGAUGAUCUUCUCUUCCCGCACAUUCUCUGAAAAGAACGCUAUGCUGACUAUGUUGACUAUGAUACGUCUGUUUUGGUUCUCGUGGUUAAGAGGUCGCACUUUGGAGUCCCCUAAGCCAGUGCUGCCCUCUCCAGGUUACAGAGGCAGUGCCCGCGUUCAAACCUAGUAUCGUCGUCUGCAGUAUGAGGAUGCAGACUGGCCAGCACACCUCAGCGAGCCAGGAAUGAGUGCCCGUGAGCUCUCCCAGGCUGCAGCUGUGUCCAGAAUGAAAGGCUGUGGAGAGUGAUUGUCUGGGAUGACAUCCAUGUAGAGUGCUAGAAAGAUAUCUUCUCCAUACAGCAAACAUCUGGCAGGAGCUUUGCAGCUUACAAAGCCCUUUCCCAUACAUCAGCUCAUUAAAACUAUUUGAUGGAGGCAGCACUAUCCUAACUUAAUAAAGGAAGAAACUGAGAUUUAAGUUCCUAGGGCUGCAGAGUCAGCAUUCAAACUCGGUCUUCAAAAGGUUCAAGAGGUCUAGUGCUCUGAUUUUCACAAAGGUAGACAGUCGUUCGUCUAGAAAAACCUGACACUCUAAGUAGAGUUCACUCUGUUGUGUAAAGGCUGGACUAGGCCUGGAGAAAGAAUCAGGGUCAACAACCGCGUGUGGGUGCAGAUUCCUCAGACGCCGGGAAUCCAGAUAAGUGGCAGGGGCCAGCCAAAUCCUCGUGCAGUCUUCCCAUCUCCAGUCUUCUCCCUUUAGAGAAGUAAAUGAAUUCCUCAAAUUCCUCUGCCCCAGUUGUGUGAAAUGUUUGCCUGUGGGUUAGGACUGGCCUAUGUGUCCAAAAAGUGCUGCUUCUCAGGUGGCAUGAUUCCUGGGGCUCCUCGCUGUGGCUGGCCCCUCCCUCGCCACCCCCUUCACGGACCAGUUCCGUGCAGAUAUCACAGCUUGAGCUUCUCUCCUGUUACGUGAAGUGUGAUCCCUGUUAAAUUCCAAAACACCUUGGGAGUGAUACUUUAACACCAUUAGCAAUCACAAAUAUGGGUGAAUGAGUUUCAGAGCUUUUCCUGAGAACGGUGUUUUUUUCAUGGUAAAAUAAAACAUAUUAUAUGAGUGAUAAAUAUUAAUUACAGAAAGGUAAGCCUAACUGAUAGACUGGAAAAAGAGUUUCAGAGCAGAUCCGCACCAAUAUGGAAGCUGAGGCACUGAUAAAUGGUGGUGUCAGUAACCUGCGGCAAAUGCGAAGGUGAGUAAAAUGUACUGGGAUAAUUGGUAACCCAUUUGGAAAGAAAUGCACUGGAUCUUACCUCACUAUACAUACACACACAGACACACAAAUCAAUCCAGAUAUUGACUAGGAGGGCAAAACUUUAAAACUUUCAGAAAUUUUAGGAGAUGAUUAUUAUGAGCUCAGAGUACAGAAGGUUUCUUAAGAUUAAAAAAAAAAAAAAA